This 433-nucleotide ribosomal RNA is filed under the name uncultured bacterium. RNAcentral describes it as "partial 16S ribosomal RNA". It matches the Rfam family "Bacterial small subunit ribosomal RNA", at positions 29 to 507 of the family's 1533-position model. The record is from RNAcentral.
AACGAACGCUGGCGGCAUGCCUAACACAUGCAAGUCGAACGAAACCUUCCUGUCUAGUUGCGCACCGCUGCUUAACGCCUGGUAACCUACCCGUAGGUUCGCAAUCCUUCCCCUAAGGGGGUCCUAAUACCGCUUAAUGUCUUACCACCUACGAUUUCUCGCCUUUGGAUGGGCCCGCGUUGGAUUAGCGAGUUGGUAGUGUACAAGCCUACCAAGGAGAGGUUCCAUAGCUGGUAUGUUAGGAUGAACAGCCAGAAUGGAGAUGCGACACGGACCAGACUCCGACGGGAGGGAGCAGAAGAGAAUAUUGGACGAUGGGCGAAAACCUGAUCAAGCAAUGCCGGGUGAGUGAUGAAGGGGUUUGGGUUGUAAAGCUCUUUUACACGAGAUGAUAAUGACAGUACCGGGAGAAUAAGCUCCGGCUAACUCCGUG